This 262-nucleotide long non-coding RNA is filed under the name Oryzias javanicus (javanese ricefish). RNAcentral describes it as "lncRNA (ENSOJAG00000020593.1)". Lineage: Eukaryota; Metazoa; Chordata; Actinopteri; Beloniformes; Adrianichthyidae. The record is from RNAcentral.
CUGCAACUUUCAAAACUCAGAGAGCCAUUCAAGUCAAUUUUUCAUCAACCACAACUCAAAGUGUUCGGCUGCCCACAUGGUUUUUUUCCCCCCUUUUUCCUCUGAAGCGUGUGAAGUCACCCGUCUGCCUGGCACAGAUUUGUGUUGAUGUGCUUUUGUGGGGACUGAUGGUGUCUGAAACGGCGGGACCCUCCCUUUAGCAUGUGAGCUCAUUACUAUUUUAACGACACUGGAUUCAUCAAUUACCCGCCAGUCUGAUGGU